AGCAGCCGCGGUAAUUCCAGCUCCAAUAGCGUAUAUUAAAGUUGUUGCAGUUAAAAAGCUCGUAGUUGAAUUUCGGGAUUAAUUUAUUGGUCGUGCUAUUGUACGUACUGGUAUUAUUGAUUCCUACCUUCUGACGAACCAUGAUGUCAUUAAUUUGGUGUCAUGGGGAAUCAGGACUGUUACUUUGAAAAAAUUAGAGUGUUUAAAGCAGGCUCACGCUUGAAUACAUUAGCAUGGAAUAACGAAAUAGGACGUUUGAUUCUAUUUUGUUGGUUUCUAGGAUCGACGUAAUGAUUAAUAGGGAUAGUUGGG
Molecule: ribosomal RNA, 312 nt
Filed under: uncultured Glomeromycotina
Lineage: Eukaryota; Fungi; Glomeromycota
Description: SSU rRNA
Rfam family: Eukaryotic small subunit ribosomal RNA
Source: RNAcentral